Molecule: ribosomal RNA, 492 nt
Filed under: uncultured bacterium
Lineage: Bacteria
Description: partial 16S ribosomal RNA
Rfam family: Bacterial small subunit ribosomal RNA
Source: RNAcentral
AUUGAACGCUGGCGGCAGGCCUAACACAUGCAAGUCGAACGGAAGAACAGUGCUUGCUUGUGGUUUCGGCGGGGGACUGGUGUGAGAGACCUGAGAAUAUCCUGCUCUUGUCUUUAGUAUGUCUUCAGGAAGGCGCUGAUACUACAUGAGUGCAGACGCUGCACGGUGGUGGGCGUCGGACCUUAUGCUCUGACGUGAGUGGAUGCGCGGAUGUCGGGUUGGCUGGUUGGUGGGGUACUGACCUACCAAGGCGACGAUCCGUAGCUGGUCUGAGAGGAUGAUCAGCCACACUGGAACUGAGACACGGUCCAGACUCCUACGGGAGGCAGCAGUGGGGAAUAUUGGACAAUGGGCGAAAGCCUGAUCCAGCCAUGCCGAGUGUGUGAAGAAGGCCUUCGGGUUGUAAAGCCCUUUUAGUGGGGAUGAAGCGCAGUAGGUUAAUACCAAGCUGUUGUGACGGUACCAAAAGAAUAAGCACCGGCUAACUUCGUG